This 387-nucleotide ribosomal RNA is filed under the name uncultured bacterium. RNAcentral describes it as "bacterial SSU rRNA". It matches the Rfam family "Bacterial small subunit ribosomal RNA", at positions 30 to 418 of the family's 1533-position model. The record is from RNAcentral.
AUUGAACGCUGGCGGCAUGCCUUACACAUGCAAGUCGAACGGCAGCACGGGAGCAAUCCUGGUGGCGAGUGGCGAACGGGUGAGUAAUAUAUCGGAACGCGCCCAGUCGUGGGGAUAACGUAGCGAAAGCUACGCUAAUACCGCAUACGAUCUAUGGAUGAAAGCGGGGGAUCGCAAGACCUCGCGCGAUUGGAGCGGCCGAUAUCAGAUUAGGUAGUUGGUGAGGUAAAGGCUCACCAAGCCGACGAUCUGUAGCUGGUCUGAGAGGACGACCAGCCACACUGGGACUGAGACACGGCCCAGACUCCUACGGGAGGCAACAGUGGGGAAUUUUGGACAAUGGGCGCAAGCCUGAUCCAGCAAUGCCGCGUGCAGGAUGAAGGCCUU